This 290-nucleotide long non-coding RNA is filed under the name Helianthus annuus (common sunflower). Its description in RNAcentral is "hypothetical non coding rna". Lineage: Eukaryota; Viridiplantae; Streptophyta; Magnoliopsida; Asterales; Asteraceae. The record is from RNAcentral.
UCUCAAACAUAAGGAAAUCUUGCUAAUAUGGAGAAAGAUAGAUGAUUCAAAAAGGGUUCAAGACUUGAAGAAGCACUAGGAACCUUGGAUAAUCUUAUUUUCUCAUCUUCAUCAAUAGUUUUCUAGCAAAAAUUGAGAUUAGUGGACGGCUUUGGAAAAAUAUGUUCAAGUGGUUAUCAAGAACGCAAGCUUUUGUGAUUUAAAGUUGGUGUUGUUUCAAGUUUCAAACAAGACAUAUGUAAUGUAAACUAUGGUUUCGAAUCAAAUGUAUGGAUGAACAUCUUUUAUGU